RNAcentral lists this ribosomal RNA (495 nucleotides) under uncultured bacterium. Its description in RNAcentral is "partial 16S ribosomal RNA". It matches the Rfam family "Bacterial small subunit ribosomal RNA", at positions 28 to 505 of the family's 1533-position model. The record is from RNAcentral.
GAUGAACGCUGGCGGCGUGCCUAAUACAUGCAAGUCGAGCGAACAGACGAGGAGCUUGCUCCUCUGACGUUAGCGGCGGACGGGUGAGUAACACGUGGAUAACCUACCUAUAAGACUGGGAUAACUUCGGGAAACCGGAGCUAAUACCGGAUAAUAUAUUGAACCGCAUGGUUCAAUAGUGAAAGACGGUUUUGCUGUCACUUAUAGAUGGAUCCGCGCCGCAUUAGCUAGUUGGUAAGGUAACGGCUUACCAAGGCAACGAUGCGGAGCCGACCUGAGAGGGGUCAGCGCCCCACGGGAAAUGGGACCCGGCCAAGACCCCACGGGGGGGCAGGAGGAGGGAAUUUCCCGAAGGGGGCGAAAGCCUGACGGCGAAACCGCGGGGGGGUGAAGAAGGUUUUGGGGUUGUAAACCUUUUUUUUUGGGGAAAAAAAAAUGUGUAAUUAACUAUCCCCGUUUUGACGUUCCCAAAACAAAAAGCCCCCGCUAACCACG